Cucurbita maxima (winter squash) is the source of this 172-nucleotide long non-coding RNA. RefSeq lists it as uncharacterized. The record is from RefSeq and is a predicted model, not a curated record. Lineage: Eukaryota; Viridiplantae; Streptophyta; Magnoliopsida; Cucurbitales; Cucurbitaceae. The transcript is spliced from 3 exons.
AUAGGAAGCUUUCUGAAACCUUGAAUCAUUCAAACCAUCGAGGAAAGAAGAAAAUCCGUAGAGAAGAUUACGCUCAUAAUCAGUGAAGGAAGUCUUGAUCGAUUCAGAUCGAAAAUAGGAGUUCCUGCUUUCACUGAAGGAUAGAUGAAAGAAGGAAGACGAACGGCGGAGG